This 1191-nucleotide unclassified non-coding RNA is filed under the name Hevea brasiliensis (rubber tree). Lineage: Eukaryota; Viridiplantae; Streptophyta; Magnoliopsida; Malpighiales; Euphorbiaceae. The record is from RNAcentral.
UUAAGGAAAUAAUUACAUAAAAUUAUUUUGAGAACUGAGAAUUAAAUCGAAAUUAUACUAAGCCAAACUAGAACUGAAAAAUCAAAGACCGUACUGAACUAAAACCCUACUGAAAUUUCAGUUCAAUUUAUUCUUAGACAGACCUCGAACUAAACCGAAACCGCAUAUCCCUGCAACAAGCCUCUACAGGAUCGUUACAGUUACAGAGACGGAAUUCGAAGUUUAUGGGUCUAUGACCAUGAUAAGCCCUUCAAGCCUGGUCAAGGACUGAAAUGCGCAUCAAGGCAAACCCUCUUUCUUCCUUUACAUAAGCACAUACACGCCCUGAGUAUACUGACAGGGCAAUUUUUUUUUUUUUUCCAGGGAUAUGACCACUUGACAAUUUGAGGGCUAUGCUUAUGCUCCAAAGGGAAUGAAUGAAUCAAUAAAACAAAAUGAUAAAAUUAAUCUGUGAUUUAAAAAUUAAAAAAAAGGGAAACAUAUCUACAGAACCCUAAAAGAAACAGCAAAGGAAGGCAACACCAAUUUUGAAGUUGAAUAGAGAACCACUGUAGAGGGUCUGGACGUUCGUCUACAUCCAAAGAAGCAGUAGGCUUGGGUAGUUCAGAAGGUAAAUGCCGGUGAAAUGCAUCAACUGCAGCUGCAACACCAUCUUCAUUCUCUAUCAACUUCGCUAAUUCCAUUGCCCGAGAUUUCACUCUUUCUUGAAAAUGUGCUUCCUUUAGGCCCACUUUGGCUUUUUGGUACUCAGACUUCAAGACAAUGAAACACAGCUGCUGGAAUAAGUAUGUUUCUUCCAACCUGUUGGCAAAAGUGCUAUCAUAAAUGCCCUUGUAUUUGUUUACAGCUGCAGUUAACUCCACAUAAGAAUGUGGAGAAGUCUACAUUUCAUUGAAAAGGCAGGUAUCAGAAGCUAGAUAUGCACCAUGGAAGAAGUAUCACAUUUUUGCAGGAUUAUUAAUCAAGUCUAAUCUUCAGAGAUUAACCGAAUAAUCAAUUUAUAAGGACCACACCCGAGAACAAAUAAUAUCUAAUAAAAUUUAAAACUGUGAACACCAAUUGAUAUUGCUGUAGUGAUACAGGCUAGUAAUCUAUUGCAUUGCCAUCCUAUGGAAUCAGCUCUUCCAUAAAAUGGGAGCAAUAUACAAAUCAGAAUUACCUCUGGCCGGAGCAUGAACCUUAUUGCAUUUG